This 515-nucleotide ribosomal RNA is filed under the name uncultured bacterium. Its description in RNAcentral is "partial 16S ribosomal RNA". It matches the Rfam family "Bacterial small subunit ribosomal RNA", at positions 28 to 523 of the family's 1533-position model. The record is from RNAcentral.
GAUGAACGCUGGCGGCGUGCCUAAUACAUGCAAGUCGAGCGAAUGGAUUAAGAGCUUGCUCUUAUGAAGUUAGCGGCGGACGGGUGAGUAACACGUGGGUAACCUGCCCAUAAGACUGGGAUAACUCCGGGAAACCGGGGCUAAUACCGGAUAACAUUUUGAACCGCAUGGUUCGAAAUUGAAAGGCGGCUUCGGCUGUCACUUAUGGAUGGACCCGCUUUGCAUUAGCUAGUUGGUGAGGUAACGGCUCACCAAGGCAACGAUGCGUAGCCGACCUGCGAGGGUGAUCGGCCACACUGGGACUGAGACACGGCCCAGACUCCUACGGGAGGCAGCAGUAGGGAAUCUUCCGCAAUGGACGAAAGUCUGGCGGAGCAACGCCGCGUGAGUGAUGAAGGCUUUCGGGUCGUAAAACUCUGUUGUUAGGGAAGAACAAGUGCUAGUUGAAUAAGCUGACACCUUGACGGUACCUAACCAGAAAGCCACGGCUAACUACGUGCCAGCCGCCGCCGUAA